GGAAUUUUGGGCAAUGGGCGAAAGCCUGACCCAGCAACGCCGCGUGAAGGAUGAAAUCCCUCGGGAUGUAAACUUCGCAAGAACGGGAAGAAUAAGUCGGUGUUAACACCACCGGCGAUGACGGUACUGGUGGUAAGCUCCGGCUAACCCCGUGCCAGCAGCCGCGGUAACGCGGGGGGAGCAAGCGUUGUUCGGAUUUACUGGGCGUAAAGGGCGCGUAGGCGGCCACCGCAAGUCGACUGUGAAAUCUCCGGGCUUAACUCGGAAAGGUCAGCCGAUACUGCGGGGCUAGAGUGCAGAAGGGGCAACUGGAAUUCUCGGUGUAGCGGUGAAAUGCGUAGAUAUCGAGAGGAACACCUGCGGCGAAGGCGGGUUGCUGGGCUGACACUGACGCUGGGGCGCGAAAGCUAGGGGAGCGA
This 419-nucleotide ribosomal RNA is filed under the name uncultured bacterium. RNAcentral describes it as "bacterial SSU rRNA". It matches the Rfam family "Bacterial small subunit ribosomal RNA", at positions 358 to 771 of the family's 1533-position model. The record is from RNAcentral.